GAUGAAGAACGUAGCGAAACGCGAUACGUAAUGUGAAUUGCAAAUUCAGUGAAUCAUCGAGUCUUUGAACGCACAUUGCGCCCCCUGGUAUUCCGGGGGGCAUGCCUGUCCGAGCGUCAUUGCUGCCCUCAAGCACGGCUUGUGUGUUGGGCCCCGUCCUCCGAUUCCGGGGGACGGGCCCGAAAGGCAGCGGCGGCACCGCGUCCGGUCCUCGAGCGUAUGGGGCUUUGUCACCCGCUCUGUAGGCCCGGCCGGCGCUUGCCGAUCAACCCAAAUAUUUAUCCAGGUUGACCUCGGAUCAGGUAGGGAUACCCGCUGAACUUAAGCAUAUCAAUAAGCGGAGGA
RNAcentral lists this unclassified non-coding RNA (345 nucleotides) under soil metagenome. Its description in RNAcentral is "partial contains 5.8S ribosomal RNA, internal transcribed spacer 2, and large subunit ribosomal RNA". The stretch from base 1 to 119 matches the Rfam family "5.8S ribosomal RNA", at positions 35 to 154 of the family's 154-position model. The record is from RNAcentral.